UUUAAUGAUAAUAUAUUGUCACUUUAUUAUUUAUUAUGAAUUGUGUUCUUGUAUAUACCCAGAAACAAAAUGUCGUAUUGGUACAUGCCACAUAUAGAUCACAAAGUUAAACUACUACUAUAGAUCCUACAAAAUAAUAAAUGAACCCAUCUAUGUUACCACCUCUAUGUUACCACCCACUAUGAAGGUAGUAACAUAGACUAGUAACAUAUGCAUGUUACUAGUCUAUGUUACUCCCCACUAUGAGCAGCC
This 252-nucleotide long non-coding RNA is filed under the name Hordeum vulgare. RNAcentral's name for it is "long non-coding RNA (HVUL_LNC002943)". The record is from RNAcentral. Lineage: Eukaryota; Viridiplantae; Streptophyta; Magnoliopsida; Poales; Poaceae.